AGUGAACGCUGGCGGUAGGCCUAACACAUGCAAGUCGAACGGCAGCACAGUAAGAGCUUGCUCUUACGGGUGGCGAGUGGCGGACGGGUGAGGAAUACAUCGGAAUCUACUUUUUCGUGGGGGAUAACGUAGGGAAACUUACGCUAAUACCGCAUACGACCUACGGGUGAAAGCAGGGGAUCUUCGGACCUUGCGCGAUUGAAUGCGCCGAUGUCGGAUUAGUUAGUUGGCGGGGUAAAGGCCCACCAAGGCGACGAUCCGUAGCUGGUCUGAGAGGGUGAUCAGCCACACUGGAACUGAGACACGGUCCAGACUCCUACGGGAGGCAGCAGUGGGGAAUAUUGGACAAUGGGCGAAAGCCUGAUCCAGCCAUACCGCGUGGGUGAAGAAGGCCUUCGGGUGGUAAAGCCCUUUUGUUGGGAAAGAAAAGCAGCAGGUUAAUACCCCGCUGUUCUGACGGUACCCAAAGAAUAAGCACCGGCUAACUUCGUG
RNAcentral lists this ribosomal RNA (492 nucleotides) under uncultured bacterium. RNAcentral describes it as "partial 16S ribosomal RNA". It matches the Rfam family "Bacterial small subunit ribosomal RNA", at positions 29 to 507 of the family's 1533-position model. The record is from RNAcentral.